RNAcentral lists this long non-coding RNA (201 nucleotides) under Elaeis guineensis (African oil palm). Its description in RNAcentral is "long non-coding RNA (EGUI_LNC013766)". The record is from RNAcentral. Lineage: Eukaryota; Viridiplantae; Streptophyta; Magnoliopsida; Arecales; Arecaceae.
AGAACUAGGUCUUUACCAAUGUCAGAUCGAACAAAAUAAAAUUAAAAAUUAAAGAUCAAUUGAGAAGGAACAAAGAUUCUUGACAGCAUAUGAUUUGUAAAAUAAGAGAUCAUUCUUUUCUCUCAGCACAAUCGAUGAAAAUUCUGGAGGAGAUAGAUCUUCUCUCAGUGGGAUAGGCUUACGUGGGGGUGAAGUCGAAUC